RNAcentral lists this transfer RNA (87 nucleotides) under Acidithiobacillus sp. RNAcentral's name for it is "tRNA-Leu". It matches the Rfam family "tRNA". Rfam says of the family: Transfer RNA (tRNA) molecules are approximately 80 nucleotides in length. Their secondary structure includes four short double-helical elements and three loops (D, anti-codon, and T loops). The record is from RNAcentral. Lineage: Bacteria; Pseudomonadati; Pseudomonadota; Acidithiobacillia; Acidithiobacillales; Acidithiobacillaceae. RNAcentral also lists the same sequence under 5 other names.
GCCGGAGUGGUGAAAUUGGUAUACACGAGGGAUUCAAAAUCCCUUGCACGAAAGUGCGUGCCGGUUCGAGUCCGGCCUCCGGUACCA